Molecule: long non-coding RNA, 1722 nt
Organism: Ruditapes philippinarum (Manila clam)
Lineage: Eukaryota; Metazoa; Mollusca; Bivalvia; Venerida; Veneridae
Exons: 2
Source: RefSeq, a predicted model, not a curated record
UAAGCGGUAAACAAAAAUAUGCUAACAAAACCAUCUUUGAUUUGACUUCAUAUAGUAUUUGUACAGUCACACGUGACCUAUCUGUUAAAACAAAACACACCUUUAUUUUAUACAUAAAGUAUAAAGUGACAUUCUGCUUAUUUUUGUCAUUGUUAAGUUGAGAUGAAUUGACUAUAUAUUUCAGAAGAUUUACUGUUAUAAUGGAGAUUGACCAACAGUUGAUACUGGAAAAUGUUUUGUAUAAAAUAUAAAUCUGCCUAAAAUGUAAAAAGAAAGUCCCAUUCUUUUUUAUAAAUUGACAGAUAAAUUCUGAUGAAUAUAAAUGUCACACAAGUUAUAUAUCAUUCAUGCGAAGUAAAUCAUAAUAUUAAAAAGAAUUACAGCAUAAUGUAAACUUAUUUUGACUUUCACCUGUUCACUCACUAGAUACCAUAAGAUGGGCAUAAUACCACUUUAAAGAGAAUAACAAUGUUUCAGGCAUAAGUUCAGAGACUUGACAACAAUCUACGCAAUUGGGCUAUUUAAAUCCAUCUCUCGUUCUCAAAAGCAGUCUUUCGUUCCGAAUAUGGCAAUCAACCUUAUGGCUACAUUUAUAACAUCCUUGCGCCUAGGUGAAGUGAAUAACUACUAGUAAUCGUAAUAAUUUGUUGGUGUUUCAGUGAUUAAGACGACAUCCUUGCGGUCACAUGGUUGCCUUUCAAGCGGGAAAACCUCACAUAACCAUUCGUGCAAUUUUUCAGGGAUGAGCGGGCACCUGAGAAAAACCUUCGGCCUUCCUUUGUCGAGCACGUGAUCCAAUCUAAUUAUAUUCGAAUCCACGGAAAAGAAGAAAAUGUUAUUUAGACUCAACAACCUUAACCACUUGGCCAUGCAAGCCAUGUAAAGUGAAACAAUGUAAUGUUAAUACCUUGCCAAAGGAAAUUAGUAUAGGAUAUGAACCAGACUUCUCCGUCUCGGAGCUCCUACCACUGAACCACUGCCAACUAUUGCAACAAAUAAGAAUGACUUUUUCAGUAAUCAUCCGAACACUGUAGAAGACCAUCCCUUGUGGUCAAAUUAUCUUUUGUCCUCAAAGAUAAUAUAACUAUCUGCGAAAAACCAAUCCUAUGUUUUUAGCAAUUUGUAUAAUAAUAAUAAGUUGUAAACAAUAAAUUUAGUACGCGGAAGUAGUUAGAACGUAGCUUAAUUCCGAUUCGUCCAGGUCAGAGCACGAUCGCCGUUAUAUUUAAAUAUGAAACGAUUCAACCGAAAUAAUAAUUCAACCGAAAAUUAAUGUUAAGUGCAGUACCUUUAAAAUAGCACGCUGUAUAGAUGAUAAAAUACAUAUUCAUGCUAUUUACCGACUAACAUUCUCUUUACCACACUCGUUUCAUACAGAUAGACGUGCAUGCUACUUCUACUUUGAGUAUACAUCUGCGUUGAAUACAACCUAGAAUAAAAUGGAUUUUACACAAUUAUUUCGUGAAAUUUGGAGAACGUUAUUUCUAGUAAUAAUAUCUUUUUCCUUCGCACUUUGCUUAUGUACAAGUAUUGGUUGGGUUGGAUGCGUGGAUCAUGGUUGCAGUGACAUGGAAGGUGGGAAAUGUGAAAACUAUGGGACAAGACCUCGUAACCUUUGUGUGUGUGUUAUACAGUCUUGAUGCGAGUGGAAAAUAGGAUUUAUUUUUCAUUUAAUUUAUUUCAUUUUUUGUGCCAAUUGUUUCCGAGGUAAAAGACCAAAAA